GACGAACGCUGGCGGCAGGCUUAACACAUGCAAGUCGAACGCCCUCUUCGGAGGGAGUGGCAGACGGGUGAGUAACGCGUGGGAAUCUACCCUAUUCUACGGAACAACACAGAGAAAUUUGUGCUAAUACCGUAUACGCCCUCCGGGGGAAAGAUUUAUCGGAGUAGGAUGAGCCCGCGUUUGAUUAGCUAGUUGGUGAGGUAAUGGCUCACCAAGGCGACGAUCAAUAGCUGGUCUGAGAGGAUGAUCAGCCACACUGGGACUGAGACACGGCCCAGACUCCUACGGGAGGCAGCAGUGGGGAAUCUUAGACAAUGGGGGCAACCCUGAUCUAGCCAUGCCGCGUGAGUGACGAAGGCCCUAGGGUCGUAAAGCUCUUUCGCCAGGGAUGAUAAUGACAGUA
This 403-nucleotide ribosomal RNA is filed under the name uncultured bacterium. Its description in RNAcentral is "bacterial SSU rRNA". It matches the Rfam family "Bacterial small subunit ribosomal RNA", at positions 28 to 459 of the family's 1533-position model. The record is from RNAcentral.